UCCUUGUUAGCUCAGUCGGUAGAGCGUUCGACUUUUACACAGAGGAUUUUCCAAAUUAAUCUUCAAAAGUUUCAAAAGAGGAAUCGAAAUGUCAGGGGUUCGAGCCCCCUAUGAGGAG
This 118-nucleotide transfer RNA is filed under the name Hanseniaspora guilliermondii. RNAcentral describes it as "transfer RNA-Lys(TTT)". It matches the Rfam family "tRNA". From Rfam's summary of the family: Transfer RNA (tRNA) molecules are approximately 80 nucleotides in length. The record is from RNAcentral. Lineage: Eukaryota; Fungi; Ascomycota; Saccharomycetes; Saccharomycodales; Saccharomycodaceae.